CUUUGAUUGUUGCGUUCA
Molecule: small nuclear RNA, 18 nt
Filed under: Arabidopsis thaliana (thale cress)
Lineage: Eukaryota; Viridiplantae; Streptophyta; Magnoliopsida; Brassicales; Brassicaceae
Description: snRNA_15999
Source: RNAcentral